AUGUAAACAUUAACAAAGGCGCUGGAGCAAACCGUUUUUCACCUUAUGCAGAUCCCAGCUUUAAGGUGACAUACGUCAACAUAUGGAUGAAACCCCAGAUUCAGCUGUUAAUGUCAGAGGAUGCGAAACUGAAGGACUUGAACCUUGGAUCGUCCUGCACUAGCUUUUUUGUCAAAAGAAACCGAGGAUUCACUGUGGGAGUCAAUCCAUUUGAUCAGAGAGGAUGUCUUCAGGUACAGCGUGCGUGACUGUGAUGAUCAGACAGACUGACUGUUCACCUGUCUAACCUUAUCACCCACCACAUGACCAAGGGAAACAUGGGCCAGAUCAUCUAAGAUUCCAAGCAUGACAUCUUGGCCGCUACCCACAGGGUCUUUGAAAGCAAAUGACUGCUGGUCCCCUAUUCUGGCAACUGCAGGCAGCGCAGAGGUACCACACAUGAAGAGGUAACGUAACCCUAGUGUGGGCUUCCAUUAGCCUCAUAAUACCACACAUGAAGAGGUAACGUAACCCUAGUGUGGGCUUCCAUUAGCCUCAUAAUACCACACAUGAAGGGGUAACGUAACCCUAGUGUGGGCUUCCAUUAGCCUCAUAAUACCACACAUGAAGGGGUAACGUAACCCUAGUGUGGGCUUCCAUUAACCUCAUAAUACCACACAUGAAGGGGUAACGUAACCCUACUCGGUGGGCUUCCAUUAGCAUCAUAACACCACACAUGAAGGGGUAACGUAACCCUAGUGUGGGCUUCCAUUAGCAUCAUAAUACCACACAUGAAGGGGUAAUGUAACCCUAGUGUGGGCUUCCAUUAGCAUCAUAAUACCACACAUGAAGGGGUAACGUAACCCUAGUAGAGGGCUUCCAUUAGCCU
This is a non-coding RNA of Salmo salar (Atlantic salmon), 868 nucleotides long. NCBI's taxonomy places the organism in Eukaryota, Metazoa, Chordata, Actinopteri, Salmoniformes, Salmonidae. The record is from RefSeq and is a predicted model, not a curated record.